GCUCGGUAUGGAGACACUGGAAAAAGAGGGUCUGAAGAAAGACUAUAAGGAACCAGAUGACAACCAAGGUAUGAGUCGAAACCUUGUUUGCAAAUAUGGCACCGAAUGCGGCAGAGAGAAAGUUCACCCGGGGCCGUAGGAGAUAAUUAAACACAGAGGAGAUCUGUCUCUGAGUCUAUUCUGUACCCGCCGUGUAGCUCACGGGCUCAUUCUGCAUUCAUAUGGCUACUCCACACUGGUGAUUUGAACAUAGUUCUUACCUCCUUACAUUUUAUCCUUACAUGAUCCUGCAUACUCAGCAGUACUGUACGUGCCCUAGUGUUAAAACUAUUGAGAAAACAAAUAAUUUGUAAAAAUGAUCUGUAUUCAUUCAAAGAGCCUUUGCAAUUCUACUUACCAAUGAGGGCAUUUAGCACGUGCUUUAUGAGAGACAAUGCCUUGAAAAGUGUUGCUAAGGAUUAUAUCUCACUUAUAGCUUGUCAUAAAUAAUUUAUGCAAAUAUUUUAACGCGCUUGUCUUGUGCCAACAUUACUUUAAAAAAAAAGAAAAAAGUUGUUAGGAUUUAUUUUUUCAAGGGAGGAAUUUGUUACGUCAGCUGUCUACAAGUACAUUCAUACAAUAUUACCUUAACUUAUGCAUAUUUAUUGUAAGUAAAACACGAACAAUAAAGUUACAAUAAAGUUCACCUUUAUUGCAUGUUAUAAACCGGUCGGGGAAAUUUAAUAAACACCUACUCUGUCGCACAUAGUCGCGUUAUGUUUUUGUAUGCUGACCACAAAAGAAGAAACACGUGUGUAAUUCCUAAUCGUUCAGAUGGUAUUCGCCGAAGACUGAGGGACAGAGAGCUCCUGAAGAAGAGGAAGGCAGAGGCAGAAGAGAAAGCAACUUACCAGUGGGUUCAUGGAGGGCAGAGCAAAAGGCAAAGAGUUCAGAGUGAGAAGAGCAGCUCUGGCAAAAUAGGGCGGCCGAGGAAAUCGGACCCCAAAGACCAGCUGCCGAAGGCCCAGGAGGAACCCCCUGUGGAGGCCUCCAAUGCAGGGGCGGCGGCCUCUCUGGAAGCCGGCCCUGUGGGAGUGCAGAUGUCCUCCCAAACUGUACCUUUACUCCCAUCACUUGCUCCUGUUCUCACUCAGCCCCAGCCAGAGGAGAUUCUCAUUCCCUCCCUGGCAGACACACUGGGGCUUGAGACCAAGAGCAGCCAACCAGUGGAGGUGGUUCUGAUCGAGGAUCUGGGUCCAGAUGAGAACGAGGACAUACCACCUCUCCCGGAGGACCUGCCUUCUGACCGGGGGACAAUCGAGGAGUUAUCUGACUGCUUCACAGCCAGUAACCAAAUGUUCUCCAUCCCAGCAACCUCCCUACCUUCCUAGGUAGAUAAUCUUUCACGAAGUCUCGUCUGAGAAACCACAGUUGUGAGACCUGCAGAGCGACACCUUCCGAGAGAGAAAUACCGCAGUAUUUGGGCAAAGAGGAAGUGCAGCCUGGGGCUCAUUGAACUCAUGAUGAGCCUUUGUGUCAACAGUGUGUAACAUUUCAUGUAUUACAUUUUAAGCAAUUCUGUUUUUGCAUUAAGUUUAAUUCUUUUAAAGAACAAAAAGCAAAAAAACCUGAGAGUUAUUUAUUUUUGGAUCAUUUACAAGCCUUUUUUCUGGAAGAUUGAAGUUGUGUGCUGGUGACCUGUCCUUCUACGCUCUAAAAAAGGUUUUUAGAUGCUCGCGUAAUUUGCAGAUUUAAAUAUUAUUGCCUUAUCUUUUAUGAAUGCCCA
Molecule: long non-coding RNA, 1765 nt
Filed under: Scleropages formosus (Asian bonytongue)
Lineage: Eukaryota; Metazoa; Chordata; Actinopteri; Osteoglossiformes; Osteoglossidae
Description: lncRNA (ENSSFOG00015027426.1)
Source: RNAcentral